Molecule: ribosomal RNA, 433 nt
Filed under: uncultured bacterium
Lineage: Bacteria
Description: partial 16S ribosomal RNA
Rfam family: Bacterial small subunit ribosomal RNA
Source: RNAcentral
CGCGCACGCUGGCGGCAUGCCUAACACAUGCAAGUCGAACGAGACCUUCGGGUCUAGUGGCGCACGGGUGCGUAACGCGUGGGAACCUGCCCUUAGGUUCGGAAUAACUCCCCGAAAGGGGUGCUAAUACCGGAUAAUGUCUUCGGACCAAAGAUUUAUCGCCUUUGGAUGGGCCCGCGUUGGAUUAGCUAGUUGGUAGGGUAAAAGCCUACCAAGGCGACGAUCCAUAGCUGGUCUGAGAGGAUGAUCAGCCAGACUGGGACUGAGACACGGCCCAGACGCCUACGGGAGGCAGCAGUGGGGAAUAUUGGACAAUGGGCGAGAGCCUGAUCCAGCAAUGCCGCGUGAGUGAUGAAGGCCUUAGGGUUGUAAAGCUCUUUUACCCGGGAUGAUAAUGACAGUACCGGGAGAAGAAGCACCGGCUAACUCCGUG